This 396-nucleotide ribosomal RNA is filed under the name uncultured bacterium. RNAcentral's name for it is "partial 16S ribosomal RNA". It matches the Rfam family "Bacterial small subunit ribosomal RNA", at positions 523 to 918 of the family's 1533-position model. The record is from RNAcentral.
AUACGUAGGUGGCAAGCGUUGUCCGGAUUUAUUGGGCGUAAAGCGCGCGCAGGCGGCUAUGUAAGUCUGGUGUUAAAGCCCGGGGCUCAACCCCGGUUCGCAUCGGAAACUGUGUAGCUUGAGUGCAGAAGAGGAAAGCGGUAUUCCACGUGUAGCGGUGAAAUGCGUAGAGAUGUGGAGGAACACCAGUGGCGAAGGCGGCUUUCUGGUCUGUAACUGACGCUGAGGCGCGAAAGCGUGGGGAGCAAACAGGAUUAUAUACCCUGGUAUUCCACGCCGUAAACGAUGAGUGCUAGGUGUUAGGGGUUUCAAUACCCUUAGUGCCGCAGCUAACGCAAUAAGCACUCCGCCUGGGGAGUACGGUCGCAAGACUGAAACUCAAAUGAAUUGACGGGG